RNAcentral lists this long non-coding RNA (6513 nucleotides) under Canis lupus familiaris (dog). Its description in RNAcentral is "lncRNA (ENSCAFG00845007281.1)". The record is from RNAcentral. Lineage: Eukaryota; Metazoa; Chordata; Mammalia; Carnivora; Canidae.
UUUUUUUUUUUUUUUUUUAAGCAUUUGUGUUUGUAUAGCCACAUCCAAAGCAGCAUUGUUCACAAUAGCCAAGAGGUGGAAACAACCCAAGUGUCUGUGGACAGAUGAACAGAUAAACAAAAUGUGGUCUAUACAUCUGAUGGAAUAUUAUUCAGACUUAAAAUGGAAAGAAAUCCUGACCUGUGCUCCAACAUGGGUAAACCUUGAGCACAUUAUGCCGAGUGAAAUAAGGCAGUCACAAAAAGGCAGAGACUGUGUGAUUCCACUUACCCAAUAUAUCAAGAGUAGUCAGACUCAUGGCAACAGCAAGCAGAACAGUGGUUACCAGGACCUGAAGGGGGGAAUGGGAAGCUGUUGUUUAAUAGGUAGAAUUUCAGUUUUGCAAGAUGAAAAGUUGCACAACAAUGUGAAUGUGCUUAACACUUAAAUAUGGGUAAGGUGGCAAAUUGUCUGUUAUUUACCACAAUUUUUAAAAAAGAGUGCAUCUGUGGAUUUGCUGUCAUCAGUUGAGUGGGAUGUGGACAGCUCUGGUUUCCAUACCUUUGGAUCCUACACAUAUGGGACAGUCUGAGGGGCUAGCACUCAGAGCUCCAUGCAGCUGUGAUGGGAAGUGCUCAAAGCCUCUAGUCUUCCUGCAGGAGGCAGGUGUGCCAGGGAUGGGAGUCCUUGGCAGUUGGAGUGGAUGACUUCGCGGCAGAUAUGGAAGGAGCCUGUUGAGACAACUCAGCUCAGAGUUCCUGCAGAGUUGAGCAGGGAGCCUGUGCCUGAGAAUUCUUAGCAGUGUCAAGAAGGGGUCAGCACAGAACUGCUCUUCCCCUGUGAGGCCCAAACAAACCAGUCUUUUCUUUCUCAUCUGUUUGCCGUCCUGUUCCUUGCUCGGAUUUGGCUAAAGGCCCUUUGAGAUAGCAGGAAAGUUAUAAAUGUUGAUGUUCCCUAUGAUAGGCUGAAUAAUGGCCCUAAAAAAUAUCCAGAUCUUAAUUCCUGGCCCCUGUGAAUGUUACUUUAUCUGGCAGAGGAGACUUGCACCCAGGAUUGAAUCAAGGAUCUUGCGAUGGGGAGAUUACCUUGGAUUAUCUGGAUAGAUCCCAAAUGUAACUGCACACUGUGUCCUUUAGAGGUGAGCAGAAGAAGACUGGACACAAAAGAGCGAAUGCAGUGUGAGAUUUGAAGCUGCAACUCUUCUGGCUCUGAAGAUGGAGGAAGGUUCCCCCAAAGCAAGAAAUACAGGAGCACAGCUCCUGAAGCUGGGAAGGACAAGGAAAGGACUCUCCCCUAGAGCCUUGGGAAGGAGUGAUGCCUUAAUUUCAUCCCAGUGAAACUAGUUUCAGACUUCAGACUCCCAACUCUGAGAGAAUCAAGGUGUGUUGUCUUAAGCCACGAAAUUUGUAGUAAUUUUUGAUAGCAACCCUACGAAACUAAUAUACCCUUCAUGGUAGGCUGGCUGGCCCAUGCCCUCCUUCAUUCCAACAGGCUUCAGAUCCCAUGGAAAGGGAUGAAUGGGGCAUCUAGAGGUUCUUAAGUGUACCUUGCAUUCCUUAGGGAUCUCUACUGGGAUGCAGGGAAGCAAAGGCCUGGGGAUGCAGCAUUGGAAGUCCCCCAGCAGGGAGAGAGUCAGUAUCGCCCUGGGUCCCUGAGAACUUGGAAACAGGCUAAAGUAGUCCCAGGAUGAGCAGGGUCAUGUGCAGGAGCAAAGAGAAAGCUCAGAGUGCUGGUGGCGGCAAGAGCCAGUGCAGACAGAUGUCUCAGGACAACCAGGCCCAGAGCCAAAGUUCACAACCUCCAGAAGACAGGGCAUAACUGCCCACAUGGGAAUCCUUCUAACUCAUUCCCCCAUCCUCCCUGAGAGUCCUGGCUGGAGAGGCCCCGGGCAGGGCCUGGAAACCCUACACUGCAGCCCUGUCACAGCUGCGGCUGGUGAGCACUCUCCUCUCCUCUCCGUGUGAGUGCUAAUGUCCCUCUCCUCAUGGGGUCUUCUGAGGAACUUCAUUGCUUUUGUCCCCUGAUCACUGUGAAUUUUUCUCUCACUUAUUUUCUGUCUUUCCUUGAUUGUCUGUGAGCUGCCUCAAAGGCUCUGUGUGGCAGCAGGACAGAUUGAUAAAUGGUUACUUUUUUAAAAAUUUUUCAGAAAAAGAAAGGGUAAGGACACUCCUCACCCCUGGUUUCACCUCACCUCCACUAAAUGAACCCAAGAGAUGAAGAAGAAAUCAGCCAGAUUAUAUGCAUUCCAGUUCUCUAUUAGCACUUAACAGAUUAUCCCUGAAUUUAAGACCACCAUUUUCUUUUGUCUGAAAUCUUGUGGGACAGGAAUUCGAGAAGGGCUUGGCUGGACAGUUCUUGCUUGGAGUCUGUCAUGCAAUUUCACUAAGAUGACUGCUGGGGCCAAAGUCAUCUGAAGGCUUGACUGGGUUGGAGCUCAAAGACAGCUUCACUGGCGUGAUGUCAGCUGAGCGCUGGGAAAUCAGUGGGCUGCCAGCUGGAGCAUUUAUGCAGAGCCUCUCCACGUGGCUUGGGCUUCCUCCCAACAUGGUGGCCUCAGAGAACUGAGGGGUUUUUUAUACUUAGUUUCAGAACUCUGAAAGUGUCCUAAUAUAUAAAAUCUUUACUGCCUUUAAAAAACAACAACAACAACAACUUGGGACACCUGGGAGGCUCAGUGGUUGAAUGCCUGCCUUUGGCUCAAGCCAUGACCCCGGGGUCCUGGGAUUGAGUCCCAUAUCAGGCUUCCUACAUAGAGCCUGCUUCUCCCUCUGCCUAUGUCUCUGCCUCUCUGUCUCUGUGUCUCAUGAAUAAAUAAAAUCUUAAAAAAAAAAAAAAAAAGAAAACUUUCAAGGAGCUUGGGUGGCUCAGUCAGUUAAGCAUCCAACUUUUAAUUCAGCUCAGGUCAUGAUCUCAGGGUCGUGGGAUUCUCUCCCUCUCCCCCACCAUCCUGCUCUCUCGCUCUCUCUCUCUCUCAAACAACUAAAUAAAUCUUAAAAAAAAAAAAAAAAAACUUUCUUGAGACAAAAUUCAUAUACCAUAAAAUGUAAAAUUUUAUUUUUUAUAAGAUUUUAUUUAUUUGACAGAGAGAGAGACAGCACAAGCAGGGGAAACUGCAGGCAGAGGGAGUGGGAGAAGCAGGCUCCCCAUCAAGCAGGGAGCCCAAUAAAGGGACUUGAUCCUAGGAUCCUGGGAUCAUGACCUGAGGGGAAGGCGGACACUUAGCCAACUGAGCCACCCAGGUGCCCCAAAGUGUAAAAUUUUAGUAUAUCCACAGAGUUGUGCAACCACCACCACUAUCUAAUCUCAGAGUAUUUGUAUCGAAAGAAAGAAAGAAACCCCAUCCCCCCCUCUCCAGACCUGCCCUGGCAGUGGAAGCACUUGGCGCCUCUGUGUUACCAGCUGAGCCCCAUGUGCUGGCCAUUCUUCCUGGGUCUACCUGAAGCUGGCCCAAGGCCCCUAGCUCUGGGCCCUCAGUUCUCACUCCUUCUUCUAGGCUGAGAUAGUCAGUGGGUAGGGGGAGGGCAGCCCUGCUUUUCCUGGUGCUUCUCCAUCAAUUCUUUUCUCACUUCUGCCAGAAGCUGCCAAAACCUGCCAAAACUCUCGAGACAAACAAAACUGUCAUGUCUAACAGGCUGCUUGGGUUUGUACCACUUCCUUCCUCUGAAGCAAUAAAGCACAAGCCAUGUACCUGCUGGGAUUCAUUCAUUCAAUAAAUAUUUAUUAACAGUCUGCUUUAUGACAUGAACUAUUUCAGGAACUGCGGUGCCUUCCUGAACAGAAAUACAGAAAUCCCUGUUCCCCUGGAUCUAUUUGAGCGGAGAGAAAGGAACAAUGAAUAACCAAACUAAAUCGUACGUCACAAGGUGAGAAGUACUAUGGGGCCAUUGGGCAGAACAAGCAGGACAGGGAAUGCGAGAGGGCUGGCAGUUUUAAACAGGAUAGUCAGGGUUGGCCUCACCAAGAGAGGGACAUUCCAGAAAGACAAGGGGGAAAUGCAGAGAGAAAAGCAUAUGUGAAAAACUCUUUGCUGGCUCUCUCCUUUGUCCCUGAAUAAAUUCCUGACUUUAAACAAGGCCUUUGGCUUGUUCAUGGCCUGGAUCCUGCUUCCAUCCAGUCUCACCAACACAAAGUCCACUACAUAAACAUAUACACAGGGCAGCCCGGGGGGGUUCAGCGGUUUAGUGCUGCCUUCAGCUGAGGGCGUGAUCCUGGAGACCCUGGAUCGAGUCCCACGUUGGGCUUCCUGCAUGGAGCCUGCUUCUCCCUCUGCCUGUGUCUCUGCCUCUGUGUGUGUGUGUGUCUCUCAUGAAUAAAUAAAUAAAAUAUUUUUAAAAAUUUAAAAACACAUGCACACACAAAAGCACACACAAUGCGUGCGCUCUGUGUCCGCACUCUGACCUGCCUUGAAUGUGUGUGCUCUCCCUGUGUCCCAUGCAGCAGAUGCGAAAUGCUACUCACAGCAUAAACAUGAAAUAUCAGAGGGUUCGUGGGAGAAUAUAGGAGGCUCGCCAGAAUGGAGCAACAUGGAAAAUAUACAAAAGUCCUAGCAACAGGGCCGCCUGGCUGGCUCAAUCUGAAGAACAUGCAUCUCUGCAUGGAUCUUGGGGAUGGGAGUUUGAGCCCUACACGGGGUGUGGAGCCUACUUAAGGAAAAAAAAAAAGUCCUAGCCAUAAAGUGAGGCUUCCAACCUCAAGCUCACUUAUCACUACAGAUCACUGGCAUGUGAAGGGGCACUUAGAGGUCAUCCAUUCCACCCCUCAGUGGGGCCCAGAGAGGGAUGGUGGCAUUCUUGGGGUCACACAGCCUUAUCUGCACAUCAAAGUCAGAUAUUCUACAGGAAGAACAUUCUGUGCAUGAAGCUGUUUCAUGAGACUUCAAGUUCCUCUAUUGUCAGGAGAAAUGACCGAUUAGAUUUCCUCUCUACCAACUGACCACGGCUGAGCUCCGCCACAGUUAAAAGGGCCCCUUGUGGAUCUCUGUGGCACCUGAGGCAGCACCAUCUUUCCUGACUGAGGAUUCUUUCUGGGGGUCUCAGUGUGUGCUGGAAACACAAAGGUGGGCUCUUUGCUGUUCCUCAGGAGGAGGGGACUGUCAAAACAGAAUCCAGAAAGAAUCGUGCCACAGACCAAGACUUGGCCCUCUGUGGUGUGAUCGUAUGAGUUGGGAUUCUAUGGUUGGCACCAAAUUCUCUGCCUAGGAGCCAGAGGAGGGGAGUCUCUGGUGGCUCAGAAAGAAAAGGAGCACUUUAGAAUUUCAGGGCUAAAGUGUGAUAAGCAUAACACACAUAAGGAAGUUAGAACUAAGUGUGAAGGUCAUCAGAUCGUGACAAAGCCAACAAAAACAGCCAAAUGAAUAAAGCUGUGUUGUCAAUCCUUUUACAGGGGGAUGGAGGUGGGGACAAGAGACUGUGAGCCUGCUUCUUAUGUCUACUUCCCCAAACCACCAAAUCCCUUCCAUGCUCUUGGGGCCCAGAUGCUUCAAAACAGGAGCAUAGGGAAAGAGAGUAAAAAAAUAAAUAAAACAAGAUGAAACCAGAGAGGGAGACAAACCUUAAGAGACUCUUAAUCAUAGGAAACAAACAGGGUCGCUGGACGGGAGGUGGCUGGGAGGAUGGCGUAACUGGAUGAUGGACAUUAAGGAGGGCAUGUGAUGUGAUGAGCACUGGGUGUUAUGUAAGGGUGAUGAAUCAUUGACCUCUACCUCUGAAGCCAAUAAUACAUUAUAUGUUGAUUAAUUGAAUUUAAAAAGAAAAGAAUAUACAUAAGUCCUUCUCCCCAUUGCUUCCUCCAUGGGCUAGUGUCUCCCAGACCUCCUCAUGGUGUCAGUCCGAUAUUCUUUCCCUGAGACUGUCCUAUCCCUGACUUCCCUGUAACCCCCACUCUGGUUAAGAUUGAGGAUUUUAGAAGCUGCCAGACCCUGAGCAAGUGUCUUGACCUUUUGCAAUCUGUUUCCGGUCCAGAAGCAUUUGUGCUAGUGAUGACAAGGCCCCCCAUUUAUUGAGCAAGCUCCCACUGCAAGGUUCUGUGCUGAAAAAUUAACAUAGAAGUCUUCAUUUAAAACUUACAACACCCCUAUAACAUAAAUUCUGUUAUAAUUUUCAUUUUAUUGACUAGGAAACCAAGGGUCAGAAACAUAAAACCACUUGCCUGAGGUCUCAUAGCCAAUACCUGCUGGCUCAGGGUUUGAACCGUCAUACUCCAGGCUCAAGUCUCUGGUAAGGUCUCUCUGAGGAUUCCCUAUUCCCACAGGAAGACUGGCAAAGGGUUGCUAAGUAUAUAUAAAAAUGAAAUACUGCUAAAGGUCACUCACUGGGGGGUGCCUGGAUGGCUCAGCAGCUUAAGUGUCUGCCUUCUGCUCAGGCCAUGAUCCUGGGGCCCUGGGACCUAGUCCCAUAAUGUGCUCCCUGCUCAGUGCGGAGUCUGCUUCUUUCUCUCCUCUCCCCCUGCUCAUGCUGUUUCUCUCUCAAAUAAAUAAAUAAAUAAAUAAAAUCUUUAAAAAAAAAAGAGAGAGAUUUAAAAAAAAAAAAAAAAAAA